CAAAAUCUCUCAGUUUCAACUGACCAGAAAUUGUUUUGGAAAGGGAUUUAGUUUGUAGGGAAUUAAGUUUUCGUGAUUUGGUCUGUUAUCCCACCCUCCGUUUUAGGACCUCUGUUGUCUCAUAGUGACAAACAGCAGUUGCUUCAACUUGUAUCAUGUGGCCGCCUCUUCUGUGCUUGUUCCACGACAAUGGCUUUGACAAACAAACAAAUCCUUAAGCAGCG
RNAcentral lists this unclassified non-coding RNA (224 nucleotides) under Hevea brasiliensis (rubber tree). The record is from RNAcentral. Lineage: Eukaryota; Viridiplantae; Streptophyta; Magnoliopsida; Malpighiales; Euphorbiaceae.